AGUGAACGCUGGCGGUAGGCCUAACACAUGCAAGUCGAACGGCAGCACAGUAAGAGCUUGCUCUUACGGGUGGCGAGUGGCGGACGGGUGAGGAAUACAUCGGAAUCUACUUUUUCGUGGGGAUAACGUAGGGAAACUUACGCUAAUACCGCAUACGACCUACGGGUGAAAGCAGGGGAUCUUCGGACCUUGCGCGAUUGAAUGAGCCGAUGUCGGAUUAGCUAGUUGGCGGGGUAAAGGCCCACCAAGGCGACGAUCCGUAGCUGGUCUGAGAGGAUGAUCAGCCACACUGGAACUGAGGCACGGUCCAGACUCCUACGGGAGGCAGCAGUGGGGAAUAUUGGACAAUGGGCGCAAGCCUGAUCCAGCCAUACCGCGUGGGUGAAGAAGGCCUUCGGGUUGUAAAGCCCUUUUGUUGGGAAAGAAAAGCAGCAGGUUAAUACCCCGCUGUUCUGACGGUACCCAAAGAAUAAGCACCGGCUAACUUCGUG
Molecule: ribosomal RNA, 491 nt
Filed under: uncultured bacterium
Lineage: Bacteria
Description: partial 16S ribosomal RNA
Rfam family: Bacterial small subunit ribosomal RNA
Source: RNAcentral